Regulatory RNA element from Vibrio rumoiensis 1S-45, 112 nucleotides. It matches the Rfam family "Alpha operon ribosome binding site". From Rfam's summary of the family: The bacterial alpha operon ribosome binding site is surrounded by this complex pseudoknotted structure. Translation of the mRNA produces 4 ribosomal protein products, one of which (S4) acts as a translational repressor by binding to the nested pseudoknot region. The mechanism of repression is thought to involve a conformational switch in the pseudoknot region and ribosome entrapment. The record is from Rfam. Lineage: Bacteria; Pseudomonadati; Pseudomonadota; Gammaproteobacteria; Vibrionales; Vibrionaceae.
AAAGAAGUAGUAUGCCGCAGCGUAUCCUCGACGGGCUUUGCUGCGGAUAAUUCUUUUAUAUAAGUACUAGGAGUGAAUAGUGGCCCGUAUAGCAGGCAUUAACAUUCCUGAU